RNAcentral lists this long non-coding RNA (441 nucleotides) under Mytilus galloprovincialis (Mediterranean mussel). The record is from RNAcentral. Lineage: Eukaryota; Metazoa; Mollusca; Bivalvia; Mytilida; Mytilidae.
ACAUAUACCACUAAUAUGAAUUCCACGAUUUCCAUAUAAAACUAAGAAGAUGAUGUAUGAUUGCCAAUGAGACUACUCUCCACAAGAGACCAAAUUUCAGAAAUUAACAACUAAAGGUCACUGUACAGUUUCUGAAAUAAGCAUCAUCUGGAACUUAUUCUCUUUACCAAAAGUUUGAAAAGCCAAAAUAUAAAACUUAGUCGUACAAGCAGGGCAGAACAAUAUAAACCAUCCAAGGUCAUUUUUGUACGAGAACAUAGGAGUAUUAUUGUGAGAACAUAAAACUGGUUAACUUUAACCCCAUCACAUUUUGUGCCUGUAUCAAAAUUCUGACUAUCUGGAUCAUAUUUCUCAUUUUUUCUAAGGUCUGUUUUAAGGAGGAUCCAGGUGUUUGUUAUUAUUGUUGACUAUCCAAUAUCUUUUGUGUAAAGAAAAAUUGUU